RNAcentral lists this ribosomal RNA (482 nucleotides) under uncultured bacterium. RNAcentral's name for it is "partial 16S ribosomal RNA". It matches the Rfam family "Bacterial small subunit ribosomal RNA", at positions 28 to 523 of the family's 1533-position model. The record is from RNAcentral.
GACGAACGCUGGCGGCGCGCCUAACACAUGCAAGUCGAACGAGCGAGAGAGAGCUUGCUUUCUCAAGCGAGUGGCGAACGGGUGAGUAACGCGUGAGGAACCUGCCUCAAAGAGGGGGACAACAGUUGGAAACGACUGCUAAUACCGCAUAAGCCCACGUCUCGGCAUCGAGCAGCGGGAAAAGGAGUGAUCCGGUUUGAGAUGGCCUCGCGUCCGAUUAGCUAGUUGGUGAGGUAACGGCCCACCAAGGCGACGAUCGGUAGCCGGACUGAGAGGUUGAACGGCCACAUUGGGACUGAGACACGGCCCAGACUCCUACGGGAGGCAGCAGUGGGGAAUAUUGCACAAUGGGGGAAACCCUGAUGCAGCGACGCCGCGUGGAGGAAGAAGGUCUUCGGAUUGUAAACUCCUGUUGUUGAGGAAGAUAAUGACGGUACUCAACAAGGAAGUGACGGCUAACUACGUGCCAGCCGCCGCCGUAA